This 891-nucleotide ribosomal RNA is filed under the name Leptosphaeria doliolum subsp. doliolum. RNAcentral describes it as "partial 28S large subunit ribosomal RNA". It matches the Rfam family "Eukaryotic large subunit ribosomal RNA", at positions 33 to 943 of the family's 3401-position model. The record is from RNAcentral. Lineage: Eukaryota; Fungi; Ascomycota; Dothideomycetes; Pleosporales; Leptosphaeriaceae.
CUUAAGCAUAUCAAUAAGCGGAGGAAAAGAAACCAACAGGGAUUGCCCUAGUAACGGCGAGUGAAGCGGCAACAGCUCAAUUUGAAAUCUGGCUCUUUUAGGGUCCGAGUUGUAAUUUGCAGAGGGCGCUUUGGCGUUGGCAGCGGUCCAAGUUCCUUGGAACAGGACGUCACAGAGGGUGAGAAUCCCGUACGUGGUCGCUGGCUUUCGCCGUGUAAAGCCUCUUCGACGAGUCGAGUUGUUUGGGAAUGCAGCUCUAAAUGGGAGGUACAUUUCUUCUAAAGCUAAAUAAUGGCCAGAGACCGAUAGCGCACAAGUAGAGUGAUCGAAAGAUGAAAAGCACUUUGGAAAGAGAGUCAAAUAGCACGUGAAAUUGUUAAAAGGGAAGCGCUUGCAGCCAGACUUGCCCGUAGUUGCUCAUCCAGGCUUUUGCCUGGUGCAUUCUUCUAUGGGCAGGCCAGCAUCAGUUUGGGCGGUUGGAUAAAGGUCUCUGUCACGUACCUCCUUUCGGGGAGGCCUUAUAGGGGAGACGACAUGCAACCAGCCUGGACUGAGGUCCGCGCAUUCGCUAGGAUGCUGGCGUAAUGGCUGUAAGCGGCCCGUCUUGAAACACGGACCAAGGAGUCUAACAUCUAUGCGAGUGUUUGGGUGUCAAGCCCGAACGCGCAAUGAAAGUGAACGGAGGUGGGAACCCUUAAGGGUGCACCAUCGACCGAUCCUGAUGUCUUCGGAAGGAUUUGAGUAAGAGCAUAGCUGUUGGGACCCGAAAGAUGGUGAACUAUGCUUGAAUAGGGUGAAGCCAGAGGAAACUCUGGUGGAGGCUCGCAGCGGUUCUGACGUGCAAAUCGAUCGUCAAAUUUGGGCAUAGGGGCGAAAGACUAAUCGAACUAU